Molecule: transfer RNA, 76 nt
Filed under: Yersinia pestis Angola
Lineage: Bacteria; Pseudomonadati; Pseudomonadota; Gammaproteobacteria; Enterobacterales; Yersiniaceae
Also listed under: 7 other names
Description: tRNA-Cys
Rfam family: tRNA
About the family: Transfer RNA (tRNA) molecules are approximately 80 nucleotides in length.
Source: RNAcentral
AGGCGCGUUGGCAGAGUGGCCAUGCUACGGAUUGCAAAUCCGUCUACCUCGGUUCGACUCCGGGACGCGCCUCCAG